GGGGCUACACUCCAGAUCAUGUCUAGUACAUUUCUUCUUCUUCGAUGAAGGCAAGUGAAUGUAGCGGUGGUUGCUUCCGUUCUGACCUGUUAUUUCUAUUGCCUACACUCUAAUAUUCAGAAGUAUUGGAUUCUUUCAUAAUUGGACUCUAUGGUGAUGCUUUACUUGCUUGCAUUAUACUGAUGAUCAAUCAUAUAUUGAUGAUGAUUAUGAUUCGAGUAUGAUUCAUGAGAUUAAUUCACACCCCUGAAGGUAAAUGAAGUAUUAUUUGAGGUUGGUAUUGUAUCUGAAGGUAAAUAAAGUAUUAUUUAAGGUUUGUAUUGUAUUUGAAGGAAGUGAAGUUUAUUGAUAAAUGUAGCAUGCCAUAUACAUUGCAUGACUCAUUUGCAUCUGAAGUUUUGUCGUGACCUAUGGUCCGACCGUACCGGUACAAUUUAGCAUCUUAUGUUGCCCGAGGAGGGGUACGAUGUGGCUUCAUACCCUUAGAGGUAUGAAGGCAGAGGACAUAUGCAGUCAUUGAAGUGAUAUUUGCAGAUGAUGUGGUUUUAUACCCUCAGAGGUAUGAAGAUAGAGUACCUACACAUUGCAUUCCUAUGCAUACAUUGAAGUGAUAUUUGCAGGUAUUGUUGACGCAGGGAAGUGUUAUAGAACCUAUUGUGGUUGUUCGAGGAAAUGAGAUGGUAUUGGUUAUAGUGGGACUACUGAGUUCUAUAUCUACAAUUAUUUCUGAUUUUAAUUGUGACUCUUUUAAAAUGUUGAUGAAUUCAAUUUGUGAUUUAAAUAUCUCGUCAAAAUAAUUCGCUUGUUGAGAUGUUUCAUCUCACUCUUGCAUUACUCAAUGCAGGUGCUUGUUGCUCAUCAAGGGAAGUGGGGAGUAGCAGCACAUCCACCUUCACUCUUAUAAUAACGCUGCUUAGGCGCAGUCAUGAUUUAAUUAGAAGCUUCUUGUCAAAGGAUGUUUGUUUCUAACUAGUUGUGCGCACUGAUUAAUUUAGCUCAUGUCGUUAUGAUUGUCUUCCCAUUGCUAGCAGACUAUUAAUGUCUAUUAUGUUUUCUUAUCAUGAUAUCUAUUUAUACUUUGUUGCUUCCCCGUUUAUGCAAUUUUCAAAGGAGAUGCUGUCGAAAUUUUAUAUACGAAUGUUAGAAGCGUAGUUUAGUAGCAUUCUGGGGUGUUUGUGGAUCUCGGGGUGUUACAAUAGGUUUCAUGAGUCUUUGAAAUAUGCUACUACGUACAAGAUAGCACAUGAUCCAGAUGGAGGUGUGAAUGAUUGGGUGGUUCAACAUACUUCAAGGUCGAAUAAGAUUGUGUGGGGGCAACACCAAUUCAAAGUAAUGGAUGAUGUAGAUGCUGGAAAGUAUGAAUGUGAAUGCAAGCAUUGUGAGCAUACAAGUAUGUUAUAUUAGGUCUGCUAUGUGUGCAUCUUUUACGAACAUUUAUGCAUCUUCAGAUUGAUUGUAUUCCUCUGGAAUACAUCCUUCAGAGAUACACCUACUCUGCUAUACAAGAUGUGACUUUUUCAAGGGAUGAUAAGAAUUUGAAGGGUAAAGACAGUGAGACUAAAUCAUAUAGGCAAAAGAUGUUGCUUAAAAAGGCAAUGAAAGUAGUGCAUCAUGCAAGUCUUUCAAAGGCGGGGCAUGAUAGAGCCCUAGAGAUGAUGGAUGAACUACUUUUGCUACUUUCGCUGUUGGAGCCAGAUAUAGAAGGUGAUGAUAGUACUAGUGACAGUGAAGGAAUCCAAGUAUUUAUUGUAUUAUUUGAAAUAGCCGUGUAUCAUAAAUGAUAUACUAAGUUUUUAUGCUUAGUAAAUGAGAAAAAUGUGAAACUUGCCUGGUACAGAGUGACAGGGAUGAUGUAAGAGACAUGCCAGGAGAAAAUCUACCGACAAGAAGGGCACAUGGUGGUGAAAUUCAAUUGGUGCCUAGUUUACAAGAAGGUGGUGUGUGCAAUACCCGAUGUGCUAUGCCGCUACAAAUACUGGAACAUCACGGUGUUGGACAGUUGCCCACUGGCAUACCACUGAGAGAUGAGUGCGCAACAGAUAUGGCGAUUAAAAAGAAGCUAGAUUUUAAUGUGAGUGGAGUAAGCUUGAGAAGACCAGAUAACGCGAAGCCAAAGGGCAGAACAAUCAGUGAUACCGAAAAAGAGUUAUUAAGUUGGGCACAAAAGAAGACAAGAAAAAGAACAGAAAGUGCCAAAGGUGUGGCAUUACUGAUGGUCACAACAGUCGCACUUGGCUAUCUAUGGAGGAGAAUAGGCUUCGGUUGGCCAGCCUUACUGGUCGGAAAAGAGGGCAGCCCCUAGGUUCUAGGAACAAGGGUUCAUCUGAUGCUCCAAAUUGGAAUGAGACAUGCACUUCAUAAAACAUCGUGGGGGUAUCACAGACAAUGAUUCAUCUAGUGGGGAGUAGAUGAUUUCAGAUUUUAGGACAAUUGUAAUGUAGUAACAUACUUGUUAUUACACAUAUGGACGAAUUAAUAAAUCUGAUACCAGUUGAUAUUCACAAAGUA
Molecule: RNA transcript, 2508 nt
Organism: Zea mays
Lineage: Eukaryota; Viridiplantae; Streptophyta; Magnoliopsida; Poales; Poaceae
Exons: 5
Source: RefSeq, a predicted model, not a curated record